ACACAAAAAUGCACAUGCUGUGAGCUCGAUGAGUAGGGCGGGACACGUGGUAUCCUGUCUGAAUAUGGGGGGACCAUCCUCCAAGGCUAAAUACUCCUGACUGACCGAUAGUGAACCAGUACCGUGAGGGAAAGGCGAAAAGAACCCCGGCGAGGGGAGUGAAAAAGAACCUGAAACCGUGUACGUACAAGCAGUGGGAGCACAGAGCAAUCUGUGUGACUGCGUACCUUUUGUAUAAUGGGUCAGCGACUUAUAUUCUGUAGCAAGGUUAACCGAAUAGGGGAGCCGAAGGGAAACCGAGUCUUAACUGGGCGUUAAGUUGCAGGGUAUAGACCCGAAACCCGGUGAUCUAGCCAUGGGCAGGUUGAAGGUUGGGUAACACUAACUGGAGGACCGAACCGACUAAUGUUGAAAAAUUAGCGGAUGACUUGUGGCUGGGGGUGAAAGGCCAAUCAAACCGGGAGAUAGCUGGUUCUCCCCGAAAGCUAUUUAGGUAGCGCCUCGUGAAUUCAUCUCCGGGGGUAGAGCACUGUUUCGGCAAGGGGGUCAUCCCGACUUACCAACCCGAUGCAAACUGCGAAUACCGGAGAAUGUUAUCACGGGAGACACACGGCGGGUGCUAACGUCCGUCGUGAAGAGGGAAACAACCCAGACCGCCAGCUAAGGUCCCAAAGUCAUGGUUAAGUGGGAAACGAUGUGGGAAGGCCCAGACAGCCAGGAUGUUGGCUUAGAAGCAGCCAUCAUUUAAAGAAAGCGUAAUAGCUCACUGGUCGAGUCGGCCUGCGCGGAAGAUGUAACGGGGCUAAACCAUGCACCGAAGCUGCGGCAGCGACACUGUGUGUUGUUGGGUAGGGGAGCGU
This 860-nucleotide ribosomal RNA is filed under the name Escherichia coli. RNAcentral's name for it is "partial 23S ribosomal RNA". It matches the Rfam family "Bacterial large subunit ribosomal RNA", at positions 377 to 1239 of the family's 2925-position model. The record is from RNAcentral. Lineage: Bacteria; Pseudomonadati; Pseudomonadota; Gammaproteobacteria; Enterobacterales; Enterobacteriaceae.